RNAcentral lists this ribosomal RNA (433 nucleotides) under uncultured bacterium. RNAcentral describes it as "partial 16S ribosomal RNA". It matches the Rfam family "Bacterial small subunit ribosomal RNA", at positions 29 to 507 of the family's 1533-position model. The record is from RNAcentral.
AACGAACGCUGGCGGCAUGCCUAACACAUGCAAGUCGAACGAAACCUUCUGGUCUAUUGGCGCAAGCGUUCGUAACGCGUGGGAACCUGCCCUUAGGUUCGGAAUAUCUCCCCGAAAGGGGUGCUAAUACCGGAUAAUAUCUUCUGUCCAAAGAUUUAUCGACUUUGGAGGUGCCCGCUUGGUAUUAGCUAGUUUGUAGGGUAAAAGCCUACCAAGGCGAGGAUCCAUAGCUGGUCUGAGAGGAUGGUCAGCCACACUGGAACUAAGACACGGCCCAGAAUCCUACGGGAGGAAGGAGAGGGGAAUAUUGGAAAGUGGGGGAAAGCAUGAUGGAGCAAUGCCGGGAAAGUGAUGAAGGCCUGAGGGAUGUAAAGCUCUGUUAACCGGGAUGAUAAUGACAGUAACGGGAGAAGAAGGUCCGGCUAACUACGUG